RNAcentral lists this ribosomal RNA (791 nucleotides) under Ophiocordycipitaceae sp. 'Tilachlidiopsis nigra'. RNAcentral's name for it is "eukaryotic LSU rRNA". It matches the Rfam family "Eukaryotic large subunit ribosomal RNA", at positions 98 to 913 of the family's 3401-position model. Lineage: Eukaryota; Fungi; Ascomycota; Sordariomycetes; Hypocreales; Ophiocordycipitaceae. The record is from RNAcentral.
GCGGCAACAGCUCAAAUUUGAAAUCCGGAACCCCCCCGGGGCGCCCGAGUUGUAAUUUGCAGAGGAUGCUUUUGGCGAGGCGCCUUCCGAGUUCCCUGGAACGGGACGCCACAGAGGGUGAGAGCCCCGUCUGGUCGGACGCCGAGCCUCUGUAAAGCUCCUUCGACGAGUCGAGUAGUUUGGGAAUGCUGCUCAAAACGGGAGGUAUAUGCCUUCUAAAGCUAAAUACCGGCCAGAGACCGAUAGCGCACAAGUAGAGUGAUCGAAAGGUGAAAAGCACUUUGAAAAGAGGGUUAAACAGUACGUGAAAUUGUUGAAAGGGAAGCGCCCGUGACCAGACUUGGGCCCGGCGGAUCAUCCGGCGUUCUCGCCGGUGCGCUCCGUCGGGCCCAGGCCAGCAUCGGUUCGCCGCGGGGGAUAAAGGCGCCGGGAACGUGGCUCCUCCGGGAGUGUUAUAGCCCGGCGCGCAAUGCCCUGCGGGGGACCGAGGUUCGCGCUCCGGCAAGGAUGCUGGCGUAAUGGUUACCGGCGACCCGUCUUGAAACACGGACCAAGGAGUCGUCCUCGCAUGCGAGUGUUCGGGUGUCAAACCCCUACGCGGAAUGAAAGUGAACGCAGGUGAGAGCUUCGGCGCAUCAUCGACCGAUCCUGAUGUUCUCGGAUGGAUUUGAGUAGGAGCAUGCGGGGCCGGACCCGAAAGAAGGUGAACUAUGCCUGUGUAGGGUGAAGCCAGAGGAAACUCUGGUGGAGGCUCGCAGCGGUUCUGACGUGCAAAUCGAUCGUCAAACAUG